This is a long non-coding RNA of Cyprinus carpio carpio, 1264 nucleotides long. The record is from Ensembl. NCBI's taxonomy places the organism in Eukaryota, Metazoa, Chordata, Actinopteri, Cypriniformes, Cyprinidae.
ACUUUUUGUGUGUGCCUGUUAAAUCUACGAGCUGAGAUGAGGAAACUCCUCCCCGCGAGUAAAUAUUCAAUCACUAUGCUCUAAAGUUAGGGGGCGCUGAACCAUCAUUCAACACUUUAACAUGGCGAGCGGCGGUGAAGCGAAGCUACAGUACGAGGAAGCGCCGGCGUCUUUCAAAUCCGUGGUGUGGAGACAUUUCGGUUUUGCCGUUGAGUAUAAUGCCGAGGAAGAAAAAACGGUAAACAAAAAAAUGACUAUCUGCAAGCAUUGUUUUACACGUGUAGCCUACUCAAACGGAAACACUUCCAACAUGACUGCACAUCUGCGGCGCCAUCACCCAGCAAUAUCACUGUCUGAAGGCAGGAUAUCAGAGCAGACAGAUCAUAUCUGAAAGAAGCACACUCAUCCAGGUUUAACCGUGGCCCGUCAUUCUGCUGAAGGUGACAAACCACAUAGGAAUCCUGAUGCCUUUCCAGUGUGAACCUGUAGUUUUUAAUUCCUAAAGAAAUCAGGACACGAUGACUGGAUUUUAUCUCAGAUGAUCUGUAUUGAAACAUCACCAAGCGUGUUAACUGCCAUGCUGUGGACCCGACAGCUGAUCCUAUCAAAUUACAACGGGAUGCUGAGUCAGUUUCUGAGUGUGAGCAAGUUAUUUGUAUUGCACCAGUCCACAAGCUGUCUCACCUCCUCCCUAUAGGCCUGUUCGUUGUCAUCCUGAAUGAGGCCCACCACUGUCGUUUCAUCCGCAUACUUCACAACAUGGUUUGUACUGUACCUGGCACGGCAGUCAUGGGUCAUCUUAGUGAAUAGUAAUGGGCUUAGGACGCAGCCCUGAGGGGAGCCAUUGCUCAGAGAGAUGAUACUGGAGGUGUGAUUUCCAACCUUCACAAACUGAGAAGAGAGAAAGUUAUACAUGUUUGUAACAACAUGAAGCUUUCUGAUGGUGUGAGGGUCAGAUGAGGAAAGAUUCUGCAAUCCAGACUGUCGUUCUGUGAUGUGGGAUGUAUUUUGAGGCUGUCUGGAUUUAAAAAAGCACAAGCAAUAUUUUUGUUAAGCUUCUAGUGGAGCAUGAUGUUGUGAAUGGCUUCAAGGGCAGACAGAUGCCUGCCUCCCAUAGCAAGACACGGGGGCCAAGGCCAACGAAACCCCUCACACCGGGCCAAAGACCCUGUUGAUGAACCAGAUCCCCUUUAACACUUUCAUGUAGUGAGAUGAACAUGCAGACUGUACAGCAUGCAUAUGCUAAUGGAAAUGUGUGUAUAUA